This is a non-coding RNA of Pelodiscus sinensis (Chinese soft-shelled turtle), 416 nucleotides long. NCBI's taxonomy places the organism in Eukaryota, Metazoa, Chordata, Testudines, Trionychidae. The record is from RefSeq and is a predicted model, not a curated record.
GUGCAGUAGGCAUUCAGCUUCAUUUAGACCCAUAUUAAUUUAUUUAGUAUAACAAGACUAUCAAAAGAAAGAAACUAGGUAAAAUAAGAUAUCCACCUCUGAAAACACAGAACCCCAGAAACAGUUUCAUCUAGAGAACCAGAACACCUAUUGCAGUGAACAAUCUGCUCUGGCUGGGAGACAGAGAUGCAAAAUUCCUGUUAGAUCAUCUAGGAUACAUUUUCAUUCUAGGGAGCCCGGCAGCCAGGGAGACCGCAGGAUGAGGGAGUAGACCAGGCCGGGCCGGUGGUUCUACAGCAGCUGAGACCGGAGUCGCCGUCCGUGCCUGAGCCGCCAACCCCAGGGAGGCAGGAGCACCCGCAACCCCGGCAAGUACUGACUCAGAGGCGAAUGGGCCCCAGGGGAACCAGGGCGUG